AGCUCUAAAAGCGUAUAUUAAUGUUGUUGCAGUUAAAAAGCUCGUAGUUGGAUUCUUUGCCAGCAUGAGCAACUUGAGGGUGGUAUUAAAGCCAGCCGAGAGGGGCUCAAUGCAGGCGUUUAAAAAAUUAAUAGAAUGAUUUAAUUAUUAUUUUAUUUAUUUUACUGUAAAGAAAUUAGAGUGUUUAAAGCAAGCAAUUACAAUUGUAAUUUACUGUUAUUGAAUUUUUCAGUAUGGGAUAAUGGAACAUGACAAAAUUUACUGGAAGGGGCAACCCGGAAAGUAAAACAAAAUUUUUGUAAUGAUCAAAAGAAACGGUUGAGGCUAUUUGUAUUCAAAAGGAAGCGGUGAAAUGUGUAGAUUUUUUGAAGACAAACUAAUGCGAAAGCAUUUAGCCAGC
Molecule: ribosomal RNA, 400 nt
Filed under: phytoplankton environmental sample
Lineage: Eukaryota
Description: partial small subunit ribosomal RNA
Rfam family: Eukaryotic small subunit ribosomal RNA
Source: RNAcentral